AAGGGUUUAGUGUAAUUGGUAUCACGCCUUAUUCGUGUUAAGAGGAUGCGGGUUCAAAUCUCGUGACCCUUA
Molecule: transfer RNA, 72 nt
Filed under: Trichoderma harzianum
Lineage: Eukaryota; Fungi; Ascomycota; Sordariomycetes; Hypocreales; Hypocreaceae
Description: Hypocrea lixii tRNA
Rfam family: tRNA
About the family: Transfer RNA (tRNA) molecules are approximately 80 nucleotides in length. Their secondary structure includes four short double-helical elements and three loops (D, anti-codon, and T loops). Further hydrogen bonds mediate the characteristic L-shaped molecular structure. tRNAs have two regions of fundamental functional importance: the anti-codon, which is responsible for specific mRNA codon recognition, and the 3' end, to which the tRNAs corresponding amino acid is attached (by aminoacyl-tRNA synthetases). tRNAs cope with the degeneracy of the genetic code in two manners: having more than one tRNA (with a specific anti-codon) for a particular amino acid; and 'wobble' base-pairing, i.e. permitting non-standard base-pairing at the 3rd anti-codon position.
Source: Rfam by way of RNAcentral